Molecule: long non-coding RNA, 364 nt
Organism: Poecilia latipinna (sailfin molly)
Lineage: Eukaryota; Metazoa; Chordata; Actinopteri; Cyprinodontiformes; Poeciliidae
Exons: 3
Source: RefSeq, a predicted model, not a curated record
CAGUUCAUGGUCACAGGAGGUUAUUGUCAUCAUUUUUCUGUGCACUGUCUUGAUUAUAAGCCUCAUGGUUAUUGCUGUCUUUGCACACAUAAUCAUCAACAUGAAAUGUGACUCCUGUCAAGAUGGUGGUGUGCUGCAGAAACAUUGGAGUCAGGAAAGACAAAAGGGACCUAGAGACAAAUGCAUCUACUCUUCUGUCAUUUUCACUGUGAUGAAUCAGAAUAGUGGACCAAUAAACACAUCAGCUCAAAGAAAGAGGAUUUAUGCCACUAUGAAAUCCUUCGGGUCCUAACUGUCAUUUAGCACAUGUUUUAUAUGCAUUUAUCAAACUUUAUUAUUUCAUGCCUACAUUGAAAAUGUCACA